This 253-nucleotide ribosomal RNA is filed under the name uncultured bacterium. RNAcentral's name for it is "partial 16S ribosomal RNA". It matches the Rfam family "Bacterial small subunit ribosomal RNA", at positions 524 to 776 of the family's 1533-position model. The record is from RNAcentral.
UACGUAGGUGGCAAGCGUUGUCCGGAAUUAUUGGGCGUAAAGCGCGCGCAGGCGGUCCUUUAAGUCUGAUGUGAAAGCCCACGGCUCAACCGUGGAGGGUCAUUGGAAACUGGGGGACUUGAGUGCAGGAGAGAAGAGUGGAAUUCCACGUGUAGCGGUGAAAUGCGUAGAGAUGUGGAGGAACACCAGUGGCGAAGGCGACUCUCUGGAUAGCAACUGACGCUGAAGCACGAAGGCCAGGGGAGCAAACGGG